Non-coding RNA from Prunus avium (sweet cherry), 787 nucleotides. Lineage: Eukaryota; Viridiplantae; Streptophyta; Magnoliopsida; Rosales; Rosaceae. The record is from RefSeq and is a predicted model, not a curated record.
AAGGACUCUUUUUAAUUUUUCAAAAAGGCCCAAUGUGUAUAUAAUCCUUGAAAGCCCAUAUACUUAGUCAUAAUUAAAAAAAGGCCCAUUUACUUUGUUGCAUAUCACAUGUAUGGCACGUGACCUCAGAACAUUACAAAGCGCGCGGGAUUCAACCGCCGAUAACCAACGUCCUCAGGCUGGAAAUUUCAGGAAAUUAUACAACGAGCCCCAGAUCUGAAAUAUCUGUUGCACCUGGAUCCUGGAACCCCCUUUAGAUCCAAAACCACCUGCAACUGGGCUUCAAACAACAAUGGCGAAAGUGGAAGAGGUGCACCAAGAGUCAAAUGGCAACAACAUCGUGAAGCAGAAAAAGAGGAGGAACCAUGGCUCAACGGAGUUCUUCGUCUUCGUGGAUUACGUUUUCCUCUCGAUCUUCUUUGCGUUCCUCUGCUUCAUCAUCUUCAAGAUUAUACUCGGCACCACAUCCGAUUCCUUUUCACUCUAGAGACCGACAUUCUUUUCAAUCAGGUACAAGUGCAAGCUUGAAGGCCUAACCCGGCGUUGACUUGUCAGAUUCAGAUUCUGCGAUCUCAAAUUCGUGACGUUUUCUUGGUAUCGAAAAAUCAUGUGCCCUUUUGAUCAAAUGUGAUUUAGAAACAAUUGCUUUUUAUGGCCUGUAAUUCUGGGAACAUAUAUAUGCAUAUUGAAGUGGAUCAUAUCAGUGUAAUAUGAAUGUUAAUCUCUACGAAUUGGUAUCAUGUACUAUUCAUAUAUGAACUUGGUUGAUGGGUUAUGCCUUUCUUUU